CAUGUGGUUUAAUUCGAAGCAACGCGAAGAACCUUAUCAGGCCUUGACAUUCAAUGAACUUUCUAGAGAUAGAUUGGUCCGUUCGCGAACAUUGAGACAGGUGCUGCAUGACUGUCGUCAGCUCGUGUCGUGAGAUGUUGGGUUAAGUCCCGUAACGAGCGCAACCCUUGUCCUUAGUUACCAGCAUGUAAUGGUGGGCACUCUAAGGAGACUGCUCGGUGACAAACCGGAGGAAGGUGGGGAUGACGUCAAGUCAUCAUGGCCCUUACG
RNAcentral lists this ribosomal RNA (270 nucleotides) under Pseudomonas sp. RNAcentral's name for it is "partial 16S ribosomal RNA". It matches the Rfam family "Bacterial small subunit ribosomal RNA", at positions 938 to 1206 of the family's 1533-position model. Lineage: Bacteria; Pseudomonadati; Pseudomonadota; Gammaproteobacteria; Pseudomonadales; Pseudomonadaceae. The record is from RNAcentral.